CCUACGGGUGGCAGCAGUGGGGAAUAUUGCACAAUGGGCGAAACCCUGAUGCAGCGACGCCGCGUGAGUGAUGAAGUCCUUCGUUUUGUAAAGCUCUAUCAGCAGGGAAGAAAAUGCAGGUACCUGAGCAAGAGGCAAUGGCUAACUACGUGCAAGCAGCCGCGGUAUUACGUCGGGCGAAAGCGUUCUCUGGAUUGACUGGGUGUAACGGGAGCGUAGAUGGUUGUGCAAGUCUGGAGUGAAAGGCGGGGGCCCAACCACCGAACUGCUCUUGAAACUGUACGACUGGAGUGCAGGAGAGGUAAGUGGAAGUCCUGGUGUAGCGGUGAAAUGCGUAGAUAUUAGGAGGAACACCAGUGGCGAAGGCGGCUAACUGGACUGUAACUGACGUUGAGGCGCGAAAGCGUGGGUAGCAAACAGGAUUAGAUACCCGUGUAGUC
RNAcentral lists this ribosomal RNA (440 nucleotides) under uncultured bacterium. RNAcentral's name for it is "partial 16S ribosomal RNA". It matches the Rfam family "Bacterial small subunit ribosomal RNA", at positions 338 to 795 of the family's 1533-position model. The record is from RNAcentral.